This 181-nucleotide ribosomal RNA is filed under the name uncultured Hydrogenophaga sp. RNAcentral describes it as "partial 16S ribosomal RNA". It matches the Rfam family "Bacterial small subunit ribosomal RNA", at positions 1202 to 1382 of the family's 1533-position model. Lineage: Bacteria; Pseudomonadati; Pseudomonadota; Betaproteobacteria; Burkholderiales; Comamonadaceae. The record is from RNAcentral.
UUAUGGUAGGGCGUACACACGUCAUACAAUGGCCGGUACAAAGGGCAGCCAACCCGCACGGGGGAGCCAAUCCCGUAAAGCCGGUCGUAGUCCGGAUCGCAGUCUGCAACUCGACUGCGUGAAGUCGGAAUCGCUAGUAAUCGUGGAUCAGCAUGUCACGGUGAAUACGUUCCCGGGUCUU